UGCCCCUGCCUACAGUCCACACCUUUCUAAAACUACAGUGCCCUCAGCCUGACAGAUGAUCCGUUUUAAAAACCACAAUUAGCAUACAAGUGACCCACUAUUGGAUCCAUUAUUACAUUGAACUUCUGGAAAAUUAGAAAUAAACUCACAUUCACUGAUUUCCAUCUCAAAGUGUGACGAGGGUCUUCUCUUGAUACGGCUGCUGUUGAUGACACUAUAGCUUCCUGCUGGAGGACCCAGGGGACCUACAACCAUUUAUUUCCUCCUCUUUGUUCCGCCUUCCUGGAGAUUAUGCAAUACAUUCCUGCUUAAGCUCAAAACUGUAGGUUUGUCUCUGGCUGAUCUGAAAUCCUUAAGUCGCUCUUAUCGUGGAGGGUGUCAUUAUUAAAGUAAUCAUUCUCUUAAUCCAA
This is a long non-coding RNA of Notolabrus celidotus (New Zealand spotty), 410 nucleotides long. RefSeq lists it as uncharacterized. The transcript is spliced from 3 exons. Lineage: Eukaryota; Metazoa; Chordata; Actinopteri; Labriformes; Labridae. The record is from RefSeq and is a predicted model, not a curated record.